GGUGUGUCACGGAAAAGAAUAAGAUCUUAGCAAAAAAUUGAAAUCAAACAAAAGAGAUAAAUCUAUAAACAUGGAAAAUAAGAAUAUUUGGGGAUUAGGAAUUAAAGCAAAAAUUUGAAGAAAAAAUAGAGAAAAGCAAACAAUAUUAGGAUAACUGCCUUAGAACAUUGCGCAUGUCGUCACUGAGCUAGCCAUUCACACUACGGAAAUGUGCUUAAUUGUAAAGAGAAAAGAAGUUCAGAUGUAUUGGCGAAUUUUUAAGAAGGCUCCAAAGAAUGUUCAAUAUUAUUUUCGGGUAAAGCUACAGAAAUAGGAGCAAUAGCGGGCAUGUUUGCAACGGGCAUUGAAAUCGGUAGAUAGCCUAAGAAAGAAUUUGUAAAAGAUUGGGGCGUUAGUGGUGAAUUCGUUGUAGGGAUAUGCAUAACAGGUGGUGUAUAAGCGACUGAAGGAAGACCCGAGAGCACAGUAGGGACAGCAGGUAGUGGAGUCGCAUAGUGAGCGUAUGAUAAUUGCAAGGGUCUCCCGCCAUAACGAUAACCAUUUAAUUUUUCAAUUGAGGAUGCUGCAUCAUUUUCAUUCUCAAAUUGAACGACACCGAAACCUUUAGAUCGGCCAGUGGGCUCAUAGGCGAUUCGGGCACGAAUGACUGAGCCAAUAUCUGUGAAUAGGUCCAAUAAA
Schizosaccharomyces pombe (fission yeast) is the source of this 678-nucleotide non-coding RNA. NCBI's taxonomy places the organism in Eukaryota, Fungi, Ascomycota, Schizosaccharomycetes, Schizosaccharomycetales, Schizosaccharomycetaceae. The record is from the annotation of a GenBank genome assembly.